RNAcentral lists this long non-coding RNA (591 nucleotides) under Homo sapiens (human). RNAcentral's name for it is "HSALNT0363436". The record is from RNAcentral. Lineage: Eukaryota; Metazoa; Chordata; Mammalia; Primates; Hominidae.
GGCAACCCACUAGGGUCGCCUGCUGCACUGUGGAAGCUUUGUUCUUUUGCUCUUUGCAAUAAAUCUUGCUACUGCUCACUCUUUGGGUCCACACUGCUUUUAUAAGCUGUAACACUCACCGCGAAGGUCUACAGCUUCACUCCUGAAGCCAGCGAGACCAUGAGCCCACCGGGAGGAACGAACAACUCCAGGCGGCACUGCCUUAGGAGCUCAUCGCGAAGGUCUGUAGCUUCACUCCUGAGCCAGCGAGACCACGAACUCACCAGAAGGAAGAAACUCCGAACACAUCUGAACAUCAGAAGGAACAAACUCCAGAAGCACCACCUUAAGAGCUGUAACACUCACUGCGAGGGUCCGCGGCUUCAUUCUUGAAGUCAGUGAGACCAAGAACCCACCAAUUCCAGAUGCAAUCCCAGCACUCUUGGAGUCUGAGGUGGAUGGAACACUUGAGGCCAGGAGUUCGAGACCAGCCUGCACAACAUGGCAAAACCCCAUCUCUACUAAAAAUACAAAAAUUAGCCUGGCAUGGUGGCACACUCCUGUAAUCCUAGCUACUCGGGAGGCUGAGGCAGGAGAAUUGCUUGAACCCGG